UGGGGUGUAACUCAGUGGUAGAGUGUUUACCUAGCAGGCAUGAGGCUCUGGGUUUGAUCCCCAGCAAUACAA
RNAcentral lists this transfer RNA (72 nucleotides) under Heterocephalus glaber (naked mole-rat). It matches the Rfam family "tRNA". From Rfam's summary of the family: Transfer RNA (tRNA) molecules are approximately 80 nucleotides in length. Their secondary structure includes four short double-helical elements and three loops (D, anti-codon, and T loops). The record is from Rfam by way of RNAcentral. Lineage: Eukaryota; Metazoa; Chordata; Mammalia; Rodentia; Bathyergidae.